CGCCGUGCUGCUGUCGGACACCGCGGUGCCCUCCUGGCACGAGGGCUACCGGGAGCUGCCGUUCGUCUUCGCCGGUUCGGCGGCGACCGCGGCGGC
RNAcentral lists this transfer RNA (96 nucleotides) under Streptomyces flaveolus. RNAcentral describes it as "tRNA-Ala". RNAcentral also lists the same sequence under 1 other name. Lineage: Bacteria; Bacillati; Actinomycetota; Actinomycetes; Kitasatosporales; Streptomycetaceae. The record is from RNAcentral.